RNAcentral lists this long non-coding RNA (519 nucleotides) under Danio rerio (zebrafish). Its description in RNAcentral is "lncRNA (ENSDARG00000117501.1)". The record is from RNAcentral. Lineage: Eukaryota; Metazoa; Chordata; Actinopteri; Cypriniformes; Danionidae.
CACGGACCAACGAGCGCCAAACGGACAUCGUUAAUUUGAACACGGACCAACGAGCGCCAAAUGGACAUCGUUAAUAUGAAGGAACAACGUACGCCUAGUCGUAUUGGUGGUAUUUUAAUUGCGUUUUUGCUUUUGUUCAGACAUCGUUAAGCACUAAUGCUUGUGCUGCUCGUAAAUCACUUACUUAUUGGUUGAACUGAAAUAUUGACGCCGCCGAAAUGACCCGCUGUCAGGAACAACACGAGGUUUUCAUGCUUUCAUACUUGGAUCGAAACAUGCCUGUAAGGCACAGAAUCAAAGAAUGAGCGAAGUCCAGGGCAGAAGAAGGGGAGAGAGUAACCUAUACCAGAGGGAACAAAAUACCACUGCAAUCUUUGCCAGUGACAGCCACGCUGCGGUCGCCCACCUUGCCCUCUAAAUGAGAUCCUAUUUACAAGAUCUCUCAGAGCUCCGGAAGUGCCAUCCAGAAAUAUUUCGGUAGGAAAAUAUAUCAAUAAUCACAAAAGUUAAAACUUGGAC